This is a small nuclear RNA of Ailuropoda melanoleuca (giant panda), 170 nucleotides long. Its record names the gene U1. It matches the Rfam family "U1 spliceosomal RNA". Rfam says of the family: U1 is a small nuclear RNA (snRNA) component of the spliceosome (involved in pre-mRNA splicing). Its 5' end forms complementary base pairs with the 5' splice junction, thus defining the 5' donor site of an intron. There are significant differences in sequence and secondary structure between metazoan and yeast U1 snRNAs, the latter being much longer (568 nucleotides as compared to 164 nucleotides in human). The record is from Ensembl. NCBI's taxonomy places the organism in Eukaryota, Metazoa, Chordata, Mammalia, Carnivora, Ursidae.
AUAUGUACCUGGCCGGGGAGAUACCACGAUAACAAAGGUGGUUUUCCCAGGCGAGGCUUACCCACUGUACUCCAGAUGUGCUGACCCCUGAGAUUUCCCCAAAUGUAGAAACUUAACUGCAUACUUUGUGGUAAUGGGGGGGGGGAGGUCUGUGUUUGCACGUUCCCUUA